This 611-nucleotide ribosomal RNA is filed under the name uncultured Actinomycetes bacterium. RNAcentral describes it as "bacterial SSU rRNA". It matches the Rfam family "Bacterial small subunit ribosomal RNA", at positions 355 to 957 of the family's 1533-position model. Lineage: Bacteria; Bacillati; Actinomycetota; Actinomycetes. The record is from RNAcentral.
UGGGGAAUAUUGGACAAUGGGCGAAAGCCUGAUCCAGCCAUGCCGCGUGUGUGAAGAAGGCCUUUUGGUUGUAAAGCACUUUAAGCGAGGAGGAGGCUACUUGGAUUAAUACUCUAGGAUAGUGGACGUUACUCGCAAAAUAAGCACCGGCUAACUCUGUGCCAGCAGCCGCGGUAAUACAGAGGGUGCGAGCGUUAAUCGGAUUUACUGGGCGUAAAGCGUGCGUAGGCGGCUUUUUAAGUCGGAUGUGAAAUCCCUGAGCUUAACUUAGGAAUUGCAUUCGAUACUGGGAAGCUAGAGUAUGGGAGAGGAUGGUCGAAUUCCAGGUGUAGCGGUGAAAUGCGUAGAGAUCUGGAGGAAUACCGAUGGCGAAGGCAGCCAUCUGGCCUAAUACUGACGCUGAGGUACGAAAGCAUGGGGAGCAAACAGGAUUAGAUACCCUGGUAGUCCAUGCCGUAAACGAUGUCUACUAGCCGUUGGGGCCUUUGAGGCUUUAGUGGCGCAGCUAACGCGAUAAGUAGACCGCCUGGGGAGUACGGUCGCAAGACUAAAACUCAAAUGAAUUGACGGGGGCCCGCACAAGCGGUGGAGCAUGUGGUUUAAUUCGAUGC